This 286-nucleotide long non-coding RNA is filed under the name Malus domestica (apple). RNAcentral's name for it is "long non-coding RNA (MDOM_LNC006811)". The record is from RNAcentral. Lineage: Eukaryota; Viridiplantae; Streptophyta; Magnoliopsida; Rosales; Rosaceae.
CCAAGCAAUCCUCCUUCCUUGCAAAUAUGCGGCACCAAGGUGUGAGUGGUGAAUGGAUGGUCUCUUGUGGUGGUGGAUGGAUAUAGGUGAGUUAUGGUGAAGGGUGGAGAGUUGUGUAGAUGAUGUGGUGUCCUUGGAUGAUGGCCCCCAAAUUAUGGUGAAGGGUGGAUGUAUUUAUAGGCUAGGGAGAGGAGUGUAUGGAGUUGUAAUGAGUGGAUGUAAUGGGUGUAGUGGGUGAGUGUUGUGGUAAUGAGUGGAUGUAAUGGGUGUAGUGGAUGAAUGUUUG